Molecule: ribosomal RNA, 446 nt
Filed under: Moraxella canis
Lineage: Bacteria; Pseudomonadati; Pseudomonadota; Gammaproteobacteria; Moraxellales; Moraxellaceae
Description: bacterial SSU rRNA
Rfam family: Bacterial small subunit ribosomal RNA
Source: RNAcentral
CACAUGCAAGUCGAACGAGGUUAGAAAGCUUGCUUUUGAUACCUAGUGGCGGACGGGUGAGUAAUGCUUAGGAAUCUGCCUAGUAGUGGGGGAUAACUUGGGGAAACUCAAGCUAAUACCGCAUACGACCUACGGGUGAAAGGGGGCGCAAGCUCUCGCUAUUAGAUGAGCCUAAGUCGGAUUAGCUAGUUGGUGGGGUAAAGGCCUACCAAGGCGACGAUCUGUAGCUGGUCUGAGAGGAUGAUCAGCCACACUGGGACUGAGACACGGCCCAGACUCCUACGGGAGGCAGCAGUGGGGAAUAUUGGACAAUGGGCGAAAGCCUGAUCCAGCCAUGCCGCGUGUGUGAAGAAGGCCUUUUGGUUGUAAAGCACUUUAAGUGGGGAGGAAAAGCUAAUGGUUAAUACCCAUUAGCCCUGACGUUACCCACAGAAUAAGCACCGGCU